AACGAACGCUGGCGGCAUGCCUAACACAUGCAAGUCGAACGAUCCCUUCGGGGUUAGUGGCGCAGGGGUUCGUAACGCGUGGGAACCUGCCCUUAGGUUCGGAAUAACUCAGAGAAAUUUGAGCUAAUACCGGAUAAUGUCUUCGGACCAACGAUUGAUCGCCUUUGGGUGGGCCCCAGAUGUAUUGCAUAGGUGGUGGGGUAAAGGCCUACCAAGGCGUCGUCACAUAGCUGGUUUGAGAGGAGGAUCCGCCACACUGGGGGGGAGAAACGGCCCAGAAUCUUGCGCGAGGGAGAAGUGGGGAAUAUUGCAAAAUGGGCGGAGGGAUGAUCCCGCAAUGCCGGGUGAGUGAUGAAGGCCUUAGGGAAGUAAAGCUCGUUUAUCCGGGAUGAUAAUGACAGUACCGGGAGAAUAAGCCCCGGCUAACUCCGUG
Molecule: ribosomal RNA, 433 nt
Filed under: uncultured bacterium
Lineage: Bacteria
Description: partial 16S ribosomal RNA
Rfam family: Bacterial small subunit ribosomal RNA
Source: RNAcentral